RNAcentral lists this transfer RNA (64 nucleotides) under Stenopirates sp. NKU01. RNAcentral describes it as "tRNA-Trp". Lineage: Eukaryota; Metazoa; Arthropoda; Insecta; Hemiptera; Enicocephalidae. The record is from RNAcentral.
AAAACUUUAAGUUAAAAAAACUAUUAAUGUUCAAAAUUAAAUUUAUAUAUUUAUAUAAGUUUUA